GGAGGAAAUACGGUAUUUGUUUGACGAUUGACUAUAGGACUAAAGGCGGACUGUG
This 55-nucleotide small RNA is filed under the name Caenorhabditis elegans. Its description in RNAcentral is "Unclassified non-coding RNA F29G9.14". Lineage: Eukaryota; Metazoa; Nematoda; Chromadorea; Rhabditida; Rhabditidae. The record is from RNAcentral.